AGAAGUGGUCUCCUGAUAGAGUUUAAACAUUGUCAUUGACAUAGAACAUUCAAUCGUGUUGUUUUUCUAUUAGAAAGGUGUACUUUUGAGAGCGAAAACCUGCAGAAACGGAGAAAAGGGGGGAUUUGGGUGGUCAAUCAGGCAAAACAUUGAAGGGAUUUUACAGAGGGUUACCAGACGUCUCCGUUUUCCAGGGACAGUCCCCGUUUUUGGUGGCCUGUACCCGUUUUUAACUGUGCGUUAAAAACAGACUGCAAAGUGAAAUAAUAUUUUACGUGGCAAGAAAGACCGCGGAGCAGAGUCUACCGGUUGACGUCUCAAUCGCGUUGUGCUUGUUUUGUCCAGCAGAGGGCGCUGCUCGGUAUAUCAGCUUCAUUCACUCUUCUUCUUCUAACUACUUGCUCGCGCUAGUUUUAGAGAAAUCUGCUAUGGAAAACUCGGCCAGAAGCUAGCAAGUGUGAAGUGAAUCUAAAACAUCGCCACAAACAUCUUUUCAAGCCAGAGAGUGGAGAGGAAGGAGAGGAGGAAGACUGGAUAGGAAGAAGAGUGAAAGAGAUUACAGAGCCUGCCAAUUUAUUAUUCCAAACAAUGUUUUUGAGAUAAAAUACAAAAAUGGGGCAAGUAAUGGGAAUCUGUUAAAAUACUUUGGUUAUCUAAUAGUGUACUAUUUAUUAAAGAUUGGAGAAGAAGAAGAAGAAGAAGGAAAAAUUAAGGGAGUAAAAAGAGUGAAGCGAGGAGAGUGUGGAAGAGUGAGGUGGGAAAGGAAGACGAGUGGAGAAAGAUUGGAGGAGAAGAAAAAGUUAAGAGAGUAAGAAGAGUGACACAAGGAGAGUGAAGAAGAGCUGACAGAGGAGGUACAAUGGCUCUUUCCAAGAAAUGGAAUUGCCAUUUUAAUGACAACAUGCUGAGAGACUUUCCAUUUAUACGCUCAGGUCAAGACGAUAGAAUGGUUAACUGCACCCUUUGUAAUUCUUCUUUUUCAAUGGGCAGCGGGGGAAGAACGGCAGUGGUAGAACAUCAACAGACAAAAAAGCAUAAAGCCUCUCUGAUUUCCCGUGUUGGUAUGCCCUCUGUCACCACAUUCUAAAAGAAGAAUAUGAUUUAGCUGUGCAGGAGGGUGUCUUUGCAUACCACACUAUGCGACACAAUCAUAGUUACAGAUCUAUGGACUGCACAGCACAACUGACACGAAAGCUUUAUGAGCCGAAGUUUACAUGUGCUAGGACAAAAUGUGAAGCCAUAGUGAGUAACGUGUUAGCUCCAUGGGCAACUACUUUGGUAACACAGGACCUAGACCAGGUUGAAUUUGUGUCCCUGUCCAUUGAUGUGUCCAAUCAUAGACAUGUAAAGCUGCUGCCAAUAGUAGUCAGAUAUUGUAAGAUAUAUGGUGGCAACACAUUUGUGGAAACAAAAUUGCUUGAGUUUGUUGAAUUGAAAGGAGAAACAGCAGAGGAGAUUGCAGCUGAGGUCCUGGUGGUCAUCCAAAAAUGUAACCUGCAAAAUAAAGUCAUGGCAUUCUCUGCCGACAACACAAAUACCAACUUUGGAGGACUGAAUAGGCUGGGGAGGGUCAAUGUCCUUACCAAAGUUAAAAGUGCUCUGCAGCGGGAGGUGAUUGGCUUAGGUUGUCCUGCCCACAUCAUUCAUAACAUGGCCAGAACAGCUUUGGAUAUGAUUCCCCUUGAUGUUGAGUACCUGCUCACAAAGAUAUUUGGAUAUUUUCACCGUCAGAGUAGAAAGACUGAAGAGCUUUUGUGAGUUUGUUGGCCAGGAGUACCAUAACAUUUUAGGACACAGCAAUGUUUGCUGGCUGUCCAUGCUCCCUGCGCUAGAAAGAGUGCUGAAAAGGUAUGUGCCAUUGAAAUCCUUUUUUCUGAAGACAAAUGUCCUGUUGUCCUGCGAACAAUGUUCGAAGAUCCACUGACUGAACUUUGGCUGGCCUUUGUCCAUGGUAACUUGACCGCAUUCAGUGACACGAUCAAGAUGCUUGAAAGCUAGGACCACUGGGCUGUGGAGUCAGCUGCAAUUCUGAGAAACGUUGAGGCAAAAUUGACUGCAAGAUGUGAUGACAACUUCAUUCCAGUUUUGGUCAGAGGACUUCUGAGAGAGCUAGAGGGAAAUGGAGCAAUGUCUAACAAGAGCUUUCUCAAAACAUCCCAAUCAUUCUUCACUACGGCUGUGAACUACUUGCAAGCAUGGGGAAAGCACACAGAUAAUCUAGAAGAUUUACAUUGUCUCCUUUUAAAAAGGCAAUCUCAGCGUGAAGAGAUCCAGAAGGCAGCAGGAAAAAUGCCCCAAUGUGACCAUCAAUGACGAUGCAUUGUUUGACGAUGUUACUGGCCUGCAAUAGUUCCUAAAGGGGGGGAUCGCUUGAAGCAUGGAAAACAUCUGAGACACCGCUUAGUCAGAGAUGGAGCCCGGUGGUUACCCACUUCAAAGAGAACGACAUCCCACACACUAACCUGGCUAGAUUAGCGUCUGCUGUCAUGUGCUUACCUGGAAGUAAUGCACCAGUCGAGAGAGUGUUCUCCCAAAUGAAUGAUAUAUGGACAGCAGCAAGAAAUAGGUUCACUGUUCCUACCAUCAAGGUCAUGCUUAUUGUGAAGACAAACUUCAACCUCCCCUGCCAGGAGUUCAUGGAGAAGCAUGCCAAAGACAGAGCAAUCCUGAAGGAGAUACAUUCUUCUGAGAAAUAUACAGAUUAGGUUGGUAUUAGUAUAUUAUGUAGUUACCAAUCUCAUCUUAUUUCUUUAUUAUGUUGGUAAGUAUUUCACAUAUACUAUUUUCUGUUUAAAUUUUGCUCAUGUUCUCUUCUGUUCUUAUUCUACCCAGACUACCAGGACCACUGAAUGGCUGUUCAGAUUGGACAGUUGUCUUGUCUGUAGUGUUUCUGUAAUAUAGUUGUUUUCUCUAUCACAGUGUGCCUGUUAGACUAAAUACAUGAAACUGGAA
Molecule: non-coding RNA, 2952 nt
Organism: Salmo salar (Atlantic salmon)
Lineage: Eukaryota; Metazoa; Chordata; Actinopteri; Salmoniformes; Salmonidae
Source: RefSeq, a predicted model, not a curated record